Molecule: ribosomal RNA, 482 nt
Filed under: uncultured bacterium
Lineage: Bacteria
Description: SSU rRNA
Rfam family: Bacterial small subunit ribosomal RNA
Source: RNAcentral
AGGACGAACGCUGGCGGCGUGCUUAACACAUGCAAGUCGAGCGACGCUCCUCCUUCGGGAGGAUGACGGAGCGGCGAACGGGUGAGUAACACGUGGGCAACCUGCCCCUAGCUCUGGGAUAAGCCCGGGAAACCGGGUCUAAUACCGGAUAUGAGGUCGGAAGGCAUCUUCUGACUUGGAAAGUUUUUCGGCUAGGGAUGGGCCCGCGGCCUAUCAGCUUGUUGGUGAGGUAACGGCCCACCAAGGCGACGACGGGUAGCCGGCCUGAGAGGGCGACCGGCCACACUGGGACUGAGACACGGCCCAGACUCCUACGGGAGGCAGCAGUGGGGAAUAUUGCACAAUGGGCGAAAGCCUGAUGCAGCGACGCCGCGUGAGGGAUGACUGCCUUCGGGUUGUAAACCUCUUUCAGCAGGGACGAAGCGAAAGUGACGGUACCUGCAGAAGAGCACCGGCCAACUACGUGCCAGCAGCGGCGGUAA